GUUUUUGUAGUUGAGUUACAACGGUGGUUUUUAAGCCAUUAGUCUUGGUUAAAGUCCUGGUAGGAGUU
This 68-nucleotide transfer RNA is filed under the name Careproctus rastrinus. Its description in RNAcentral is "tRNA-Glu". The record is from RNAcentral. Lineage: Eukaryota; Metazoa; Chordata; Actinopteri; Perciformes; Liparidae.